Long non-coding RNA from Lycium ferocissimum, 477 nucleotides. RefSeq lists it as uncharacterized. The transcript is spliced from 2 exons. The record is from RefSeq and is a predicted model, not a curated record. Lineage: Eukaryota; Viridiplantae; Streptophyta; Magnoliopsida; Solanales; Solanaceae.
UUGGAGACGCUUCGAAAGACAAGGCAAUGUGUGGGUUCGUGGCAUCUGUUCGGCUGCCAGAUCUGUUUCAGGUGAUUGAUCGAAGCAUAUGUGGAAAUACGCGGUGCCUAUCUGGAAGACCUCCUCCCAUUUCAUUUCGGGACGGAGAUUGAGUCUUAGAAUGUAGUGGUAAUCUGAAAUCAUUAGUCGCUCUUGUACUAGUCUAGACCAGGUCAUAGGAAGUGGAUCGAGUCUGUAUGUGUUACAUCAUUGUAAUUUUAUUGAUUCUUGAGUUUAUUGAAUAUAUUAUGAAGUUUCCGCUGAAUUUCUAAGUAUCUAUUGAUUUAAAUAUAUCGCCUUUACUUAAUUAAUAUGAAUUCAAUGAGAGGGUUCGCCUACCGAGGUGGGAAAGGUAGGUGCCCGCGCGACCCUAAAAUGAGUCGUGAUAAUCACGAACCUGCUGUUAUCUGUUACCUAAGAUACCAUAAAAAAAAAUAA